GAUGAACGCUGGCGGCGUGCCUAAUACAUGCAAGUCGAGCGAACAGAUGAGGAUCUUGCUCCUCUGCCGUUAGCGGCGGACGGGUGAGUAACACGUGGAUAACCUACCUAUAAGACUGGGAUCACUUCGGGAAACCGGAGCUAAUACCGGAUAAUAUAUUGAACCGCAUGGUUCAAUAGUGAAAGACGGUUUUGCUGUCACUAAUAGAUGGAUCCGCGCCGCAUUAGCUAGUUGGUAAGGUAACGGCUUACCAAGGCAACGAUGCGUAGCCGACCUGAGAGGGUGAUCAGCCACACUGGAACUGAGACACGGUCCAGACUCCUACGGGAGGCAGCAGUAGGGAAUCUUCCGCAAUGGGCGAAAGCCUGACGGAGCAACGCCGCGUGAGUGAUGAAGGUCUUCGGAUCGUAAAACUCUGUUAUUAGGGAAGAACAAAUGUGUAAGUAACUAUGCACGUCUUGACGGUACCUAAUCAGAAAGCCACGGCUAACUACGUG
Molecule: ribosomal RNA, 497 nt
Filed under: uncultured bacterium
Lineage: Bacteria
Description: partial 16S ribosomal RNA
Rfam family: Bacterial small subunit ribosomal RNA
Source: RNAcentral